CAUCAAACCAAGCAGAUUUUACUAGAUUACGGGAAGAUUUCCACCUGCAAAACCGACUAAAGUGUCUGCGGUGGCAAUUCAUGUAAAUAACCUCUUGACUGUUAACUUCCCAUUUCGUGACAGAACCCGGUAUGAUGGUUGGAGACUAAUGGCCAUAGCAACAGACACUGCGAGGUGUUUCUCGACACCCGACGAACGUGGUUGAGGUUGGAGCAUUGGCAAGCUGUCGGCACACCACAGUCAUCCUGGCACUGGGUACGCAAACACAUAUUCUCACCCUCUUUCUUUAUUUCUCUCCCCCUCACAAACCAACACUGUGUUCACACACACACACACACACACACACACACACACACACACACACACACACACACAUUUCCUCGGUGUUAAAAGGCAGGGCUGAG
This is a long non-coding RNA of Cyprinus carpio carpio, 404 nucleotides long. NCBI's taxonomy places the organism in Eukaryota, Metazoa, Chordata, Actinopteri, Cypriniformes, Cyprinidae. The record is from Ensembl.